This is a long non-coding RNA of Talpa occidentalis (Iberian mole), 1421 nucleotides long. RefSeq lists it as uncharacterized. NCBI's taxonomy places the organism in Eukaryota, Metazoa, Chordata, Mammalia, Eulipotyphla, Talpidae. The transcript is spliced from 7 exons. The record is from RefSeq and is a predicted model, not a curated record.
CUGAUCCUCACACAAGAACGAAAUCAUAAGAAGGCGGGAUCAUAGUGACUAAAUUGCAUGUUGUCCUGAGAAACAGCGAAAGGACAUAAGGUAAACUCCAAGGAAAUCUGAGUAAAGGAUGGACUUAAGUGAGACUUCUGACAACCUUGAUUUUGUGAAGAAUAAAACUGCACUAAAGACUCCAGCAUGAGCUACAAAAGCUCUCUGGACUGAUUCUGAUCCCUAAUUUGGAGUAAAAAUUGGAAGUACCUGUGUUUAUGUCCAGAUAUAAUGAAUAUGCUAUAAGAACAUGUUUUUAUUGAAUCACAUACACAUCUUCUUGGGUGUUGAAAGUAUCCAAACCACACAAAUCAGUCUAGCAAAUCAUGACAAAUCCAGGAACACCUUUCAACUCACAGGUCUAGCAUACCGACAUUUCAAUCAGAUGCUAUUCAGACUACUUCAAAGCAUGAUGAAAUAUAAUCACUUGGGUAUGAAGAAAAGUUUGAGCUUCCACCACAAGAUCUAGAUUUCCCUAGAGUGAGAGAAAGGGAUAUUCUUUCCUGCCCUGAGUUACCCAAAGAGUCUAAGUGGAAGACACGACAGAUCUUCACAAAUGGCUCUGGACAGACAGAAUGGUCUUGGUGCCACUUUCCUCAUGAAUGGCAAUGUCUGAGGAAGAUGGUCCCUGAUGCCCAGGAUUAUUUCAUCAACUCCCUUGCAGCAGAUGAAAACAAAGGAAAGAAUUAAGUCCAAUAAUCCACAAACUGAAUAUGAGCCCAGGAGCUAGACUUCAGGAAAUAAAGCAAAGUGGAAAUCUCAAGUGGAAGAUGUUUCCCAGAAAAAUUAUAAAAUUCUUAGAAUUGCAACUUCUGCAUCCUGUUUGAGCAAGACAUUAAUUCAAGCCAAUCUGAAAGCUUCCACCAUUGCUUGGUUUCAAUUUCAGCUCCAUUAUUGUAUAAAAUUUCAUAUUUACAACAUUCUCACUCUAUGUUAAGAAUAACAACUCAGUCACUAAGGUUUGUGGGACCUUCAAAAUUCCAAGUAUGACAAACAGUCAUGAAAAUGACAUGCAAUGAAGCCAAACAUGUUAAAAUUUAUUUUCUGCAGUAGUAACAUGUCAUCUAACUGAAGGUGGGAACUUUUCUACUUACAGAGGUCAUUUCAGGUUCCCAAAUGCUUUGGAAGGAUAAUGAAGACAAACUUUCAACACUCUGUGGAGAAGAAAAAUUAAAUAAGACAAAAUAUCAACUUUUGUCUCAAAAUUCUAUUGGAAUAAAAAGACUGAAUAAGUUGUUUUGGGAAAAUACUAUUACUAUCACAAAUGUUAAGUAAUGAUAAAUAGGAUCCUCCAUAAAAUUUUAAUUAAAUUGUCCUCUGAGAUUAUGUUCAUUGCUAUAUUAGCUAAUUGGAAUGGAUCCUAAAAGGUUAUUAAAAAUUUA